Molecule: long non-coding RNA, 1283 nt
Filed under: Homo sapiens (human)
Lineage: Eukaryota; Metazoa; Chordata; Mammalia; Primates; Hominidae
Description: HSALNT0379766
Source: RNAcentral
UUUUCUCUUACACCCUUCUCUGUGAUCUCAUCUGACAAUCACUACCAUGGCAACCAAGCCUCUGUGACGUUCCAGCAAGCUCAUUGUCUUCUCUUCACUAAACUUUAGUUAGUAGUUGGUCCCAGUCAGUAACACUCUGGGAGGGCUCAGGCCACAUCACGAAAUGUGACAGGAUAGCCUUGAACUCAUCAAUUGCUGGGGGCACCUCAAACUCAACUCCAAAAUUGAUCUAAUGAACUUUCCCAAACCACAUUCCCUUCUUGCAUUUCUGAGAGAAUGGAUUCCCAUUCAUCUGACUACAGUGCUACCCUGAAAGCAGAUCCAGAGACUAAGAUUCACCUGCAGGUGAUUCAUUUGCAAGGUAAGCUGUCAUCAGUUGGAGGUAAGCGGAAGACAGUAGAGAGUACAGAGCCCUGGACUGUGACUCAGAGGAUGAGCACCAGAUCCAGUUUGCUGUGCCACAGUGCCUUCUCCAAAGUCACUCACAGAAGGCAUCCCACUCAACCUCACCUUGGGGUAAAUCAAAAUAGUCCUCCUUCUGAAGCUACCGGGUAAAGCGGUGGUAGCUGUGCAGCUGCUGCUGAUCAACAGGCUCCAGAAACAGCAGCAGGAGGUCUUUGCUGCACUAUAUUCCAGUCCUGAAGAUUUUCCUCAGAUAAUCUUUCAUCUCUUUGUUCCUGAGACUAUAUAUUAGAGGAUUACAGAGUGGUGUUAUCACAGAAAAGAACAAGUGGAUUUUUAUCUGAGAUCUACAACUUAUGAAGAAUACAAAUGAUGUAUAUUCUUUUCUACUCUUCAUGUAUGGACUAGAGGGGCUUGCACAGUAGUAAGAAAAAAAUGGCUGAGACCCACAGGAACAAAGAAACAGGACAGGAGUUAGAUGCAGAGAAGAGAUUUCAACAAAAGUUUGGAAAAGAUGCUAACGGUAGCAUAUGAGUCACAGACAGAACAUUGGCACCUUUGUUUAAGAAACUGAAUGUUAAUGUCACAUCUGCCUUUGGAGAUUACAAAUGAAAUGGCUACCUUUCUACUGGAACCCUGACCAGAAGUCUGCCAGUUAGUAAGCUGGCUUAAGAGAUCAAUCUAAAAUUUACAUAAGGCUUUUGAAAAAAAGAAAAAAACUCAAGAGAAUUGACAUCUGGUGUUAAAAAACAAAAAAUCAUACAAAUGACUGAUAUGUAUCAUUUUCCUUAUUAAAUAUGGAAGAAAGGGGAGGAGGAUGCAGAAAUGGUUGGCUAAAAGCUCCAGAGAAAAACUUAACAGAUUUUAUGAUUUUGCGGAAG